CCUACGGGGCGCAGCAGGCGCGAAAUCUUCACAAUGUGCGAAAGCACGAUGAGGGAAUCCCAAGUGCUGGCACGUAAGUGUCAGCUGUUUCUUAGUCUAAAAAGCUUAGAGAGUAAGGGCUGGGUAAGACGGGUGCCAGCAGCCGCGGUAA
RNAcentral lists this ribosomal RNA (151 nucleotides) under uncultured archaeon. Its description in RNAcentral is "partial 16S ribosomal RNA". It matches the Rfam family "Archaeal small subunit ribosomal RNA", at positions 322 to 473 of the family's 1478-position model. The record is from RNAcentral.